AUACCGCAUAACGUCUUCGGACCAAAGUGGGGGACCUUCGGGCCUCACGCCAUCGGAUGUGCCCAGAUGGGAUUAGCUAGUAGGUGGGGUAAUGGCUCACCUAGGCGACGAUCCCUAGCUGGUCUGAGAGGAUGACCAGCCACACUGGAACUGAGACACGGUCCAGACUCCUACGGGAGGCAGCAGUGGGGAAUAUUGCACAAUGGGCGCAAGCCUGAUGCAGCCAUGCCGCGUGUGUGAAGAAGGCCUUCGG
RNAcentral lists this ribosomal RNA (253 nucleotides) under Yersinia enterocolitica. Its description in RNAcentral is "partial 16S ribosomal RNA". It matches the Rfam family "Bacterial small subunit ribosomal RNA", at positions 166 to 421 of the family's 1533-position model. The record is from RNAcentral. Lineage: Bacteria; Pseudomonadati; Pseudomonadota; Gammaproteobacteria; Enterobacterales; Yersiniaceae.